CACUCCCUCAAGCCUCACGGUUCCGUGUAGCUUGGCGUUGGGGCUCGCCGAUUGGUGGCCCUUAAAAGCAGUGGCAGUGCCGUCGUAAGCUCUACGCGUAGUACAUAAUCUCGCGACAGAGUAGCGGUGGUGUCUUGCCAAAAGCCCAAAUAUAUGACA
Molecule: unclassified non-coding RNA, 159 nt
Filed under: Neoerysiphe galeopsidis
Lineage: Eukaryota; Fungi; Ascomycota; Leotiomycetes; Helotiales; Erysiphaceae
Description: partial internal transcribed spacer 2
Source: RNAcentral